Long non-coding RNA from Prosopis cineraria, 1700 nucleotides. RefSeq lists it as uncharacterized. The transcript is spliced from 3 exons. NCBI's taxonomy places the organism in Eukaryota, Viridiplantae, Streptophyta, Magnoliopsida, Fabales, Fabaceae. The record is from RefSeq and is a predicted model, not a curated record.
CUCAGUAGUAUUACAUUCUCUCAAUCCCCAGAGUGGCUACAAUCUUCUGCGUUUAUCAACAAAAAAAAAAUGGUGAUUCCUCUCAUGAGGACAAUCCGAUCUCCGUCAAGCCCACAAGCUUGCAAGAGCGACUGAAAGUCAGGAUAUCUCCUGAAUCUUUCUCUCUUAGGGUUCCCCCAUGUGUGGGCGUAAAUCUCUCCGACCGUGAUCACCGAAGUUGGUUGAACUGUCAUCGGCGAAAACUGGUUUUACUGCAGAAAGUUUGGGGAUCAGAGAACUGGAUCGAAUCGUGGUAGGAAUUUGUGGUGAGUACGUAGUGUUCAGAAUUCCUUCUUGAUUCGUAGGGGAAUACAGAAGAUCUUUGUCUUCUUUCACCAACAUAAUUGGAUCAUCUUGUUAGAGGCCAUAAGUGACCAACCAUGCUACAAUCGACAGCUUCUGAAGAAUGUCUCUAGAUAAUUGGAUCAUGAGGAAAUAAUUUACAAUCUGGAGGCUAUGGGAGGACAGGAUCUGCCUGCAAAUACUGCAACUGAGGAACCAUAUCAACUGUGGGCUAAAAUCUUAAAGGGGGUUAUAUUUUCCGAAGACUGGCUUUUACGAGGAUAAAAAAGGAAUAGGCGGUCUUGGGUUUAGUCUAGCAUUAUUGAAGGAAGAAAAGUGCUAUACAAGGUGAGAGCGUAUGUUAUUGUAGUGAUGUCUAUUGUAAAAAGUGUGUGAAACUUGGCUAGCUAGAAGCACUAGAACGAACACAUAUUCCUUCUGUGUUCCUUCUUUGUGAUUGGUCAAAAUGUGCAUGGUUUGGUCACUCUUUGUGAUGUCUAUUGUAAAAAGUCUGUGAAACUUGGCUAGCUAGAAGCACUAGAACGAACACAUAUUCCUUCUCUGUGUUCCUUCUUUGUGAUUGGACAAAAUGUGCAUGGUUUGGUCGCUCUUUAUCUUUUAUUUGUUCCAUUGUGUGUGUAUAUAUAUAUAUAUAUAUCAGAACUUUUGAGAGCUGGCUUUAUAUGUGUUUCAUUAAACUAAAACUGGAUGAUGGGCAAAAAGGGCUAGAUGGCAGAUCCUAUGACUUCAUGGCAAACAUGGAAACAAAUAUUUGCUAUUUAAUCUUCAGCAAGCAGGGAUACGUUUAAUGGGCGGAGUAACCUAUGUUCUGUUCAUAAUAUUUCUGCUAAACAUGAUCAGAGAAUCACUUGGAUAGCUGAACUAGCUGUUCUUAGAUUCAACAGAAUCACUUGGAUAAAAUCUAUCCUAAAGGAAAUGAACUGAAAAUCCAACACUGUUUCUUAGAUUCAAAGGAUCUUGCUUUUGACUAGCUGAACUCUCUAUGUUGAUUGAUUCCUACAAUUGAUGUUGCCGGAUGCAACAUGUGCAGUGCUUCCUAGCUAAUCAUUAAUUAUUAUUCUUAGUAAAGAUGAAUGGAACAUCUUGAUUUAUUGUCACUUGUGAAAUAUGCAGUAGAAAUUGCUCAAUAGUCUCAAUCUGUGUGUGUGAUAAGAUUGAAGAUAAUAUACCCAUAAAGACUUAUUCAAGAAGGAAGCGUUAAAAGAUAAAUUAGGAUAGAUUUCAUUAUUAUUUGAUUCAGCAUUUUAUUUAGCUUUCUAUUUAGAUAUUUCCCUAGAUUUUAUUUAUCUAUUUAGUUGUUUAGAUUUUAUUUUAUCAUUCAUUAUUUUAGAUAUUUAGAUUUUAUCUAGUAAUUUAGA